RNAcentral lists this ribosomal RNA (406 nucleotides) under uncultured bacterium. RNAcentral's name for it is "partial 16S ribosomal RNA". It matches the Rfam family "Bacterial small subunit ribosomal RNA", at positions 30 to 526 of the family's 1533-position model. The record is from RNAcentral.
AUUGAACGCUGGCGGCAGGCCUAACACAUGCAAGUCGAGCGGAGCGGCGGACGGGUGAGUAAUGCCUAGGAAUCUGCCUGGUAGUGGGGGAUAACGUCCGGAAACGGGCGCUAAUACCGCAUACUAUCAGAUGAGCCUAGGUCGGAUUAGCUAGUGGGUGGGGUAAAGGCCUACCAAGGCGACGAUCCGUAACUGGUCUGAGAGGAUGAUCAGUCACAUUGAAAUGGGGACAGGGUCGAAACCCUUACGGGGGGGAGCGUUGGGAAUAUUGGACAAUGGGCGAAAGCCUGAUCCAGCCAUGCCGCGUGUGUGAAGAAGGUCUUCGGAUUGUAAAGCACUUUAAGUUGGGAGGCGUUACCAACAGAAUAAGCACCGGCUAACUUCGUGCCAGCAGCCGCGGUAAUAC